Non-coding RNA from Felis catus (domestic cat), 85 nucleotides. NCBI's taxonomy places the organism in Eukaryota, Metazoa, Chordata, Mammalia, Carnivora, Felidae. The record is from Rfam.
GCCUGGGUGGCUCAGUUGGUUGAGCAUCCGACUUCGGCACAGGUCAUGAUCUCGCGACUCGCGAGUUCGAGCCCCGCGUCAGGCU